GAGAUUACGACCACUGAAAAUAUCCAAAGCCUCGGUUAAAGUCGUCCAAUUUGUAUGCGGAUUCUCCACGAUAUCUGGACAAGAAAAUACUCUUCGAACUUGGAACACGAGAAAAAAUAAAUAAUUUGUUUUGCUCCAAAAUUUCAAAACUUCCAGUCAAGUGAACCUCUGCGGUAACAUUUUUUGAUCUCUUGAAGAUAUAAAUUCCUGACUGAUGUACUUCCUUGGAAUCAUAAUUCCAGCAAAAUCCGAAACGAUCCUUAAAUGGUGUUUUCUCUUGGAGAUUCGAGGAUCACGCAACUGUUCUUUGUAAUAUAUCGGAAGAUAUAUUUGUGGAGUAGUAUCGAUCGUUUCCAAGACUGGUUCCUUUUUGCUCGAUGACCAUGGAUCAACUGUAUCGUCCGUUUGCUCGCCCGUAGAGAAAUGCUUUUCGUUCGAGUCAAAGCGCGACGGUAUAAUAAGGUGGUAGGGAGGAAUCUCCUCGUAGUAAAGUAGUAAGACAACAAGAAGUUGUUGAUCGGUUAACACGACCGCAAGCUGGAAUUAUAAGAAAACCACAUGUUAAAUAGGUGUAUGGAAACGAAGAAUGAAUAAAAAUUGUUUAAAAUUCCCGGCAACAAAGUGGUUUUCCUUGAAUUGAUGUAACAGAGAAAUGAUGUAAAUAUUCGCCAAUAAAUAUCGAAUGACUGGUUUUUAUACGUCAUUAAAUAUUAGCUCGAUUGAUUACAAUAAUCAUAUUUAAAGUGAAUGAGAAUAAUGUAACGGUGAUUAAGGCAUGCUCUAGAAAAUUCCUAAUUUUCCACCUGAUUCAUCGUUUAUUCAGGAAUUACGUCAGAGUACAAGUUAGCUCAUGCGUUAGAAUGCAUCGCUGCAACUCGUCCAACUCGAGUUGAUCUUAUUGCAAGUCUCUGGAUAAACCACUUUCUCGCUUUCUACAGGAAAUGUUUGGCUCACUUGUUAAUCUAUGACACAAUAAAGCCAGAUGUACGUAGUUUGCAUAUUUGUGGUAGUUAACGAUCCACGUGCCUGACACAUCGUUCUAAAGGAAGUAGUUAAAAGUCAUUGUGAAGAACAUAAAUAAGACAGCCUCUUCUCCAUUGUGUGAUAAAAUUUUAAUUAUGUUGGUUAACGAGCUACUUCUAAACAAUGAUCUUUCUCCAUUUGUUUUUGUCCUUUUAAAAAAAUACAUUUUAAUGAGUUCUUAAUUCUAACUUUAAUGACUUCUUUGUAUUUCCUGCGAAUUUCACAUUAUGGAAAUAUCUAGGCCCGCUAAUCUCUAUGCUUUAACAAAUAAGUCGAAAUGGAAAAAAUUAAAAUGAUCGAAUUUAUUUUAUUA
Long non-coding RNA from Vespula pensylvanica (western yellowjacket), 1336 nucleotides. RefSeq lists it as uncharacterized. Lineage: Eukaryota; Metazoa; Arthropoda; Insecta; Hymenoptera; Vespidae. The record is from RefSeq and is a predicted model, not a curated record. The transcript is spliced from 6 exons.